RNAcentral lists this ribosomal RNA (936 nucleotides) under uncultured Halobacteria archaeon. Its description in RNAcentral is "bacterial SSU rRNA". It matches the Rfam family "Archaeal small subunit ribosomal RNA", at positions 373 to 1305 of the family's 1478-position model. Lineage: Archaea; Methanobacteriati; Methanobacteriota; Halobacteria. The record is from RNAcentral.
GGGGAAUCCCAAGUGCGAGGGCAUAUUAGCCCUCGCUUUUCUCGACUCUAAGGUGGUCGACGAAUAAGAGCUGGGCAAGACCGGUGCCAACCGCCGCGGUAAUACCGGCAGCACAAGUGAUGGCCGAUCUUAUUGGGCCUAAAGCGUCCGUAGCCGGCCGAGCGGGUCCGUCGGGAAAUCCGCGUGCUCAACGCGCGGGCGUCCGGCGGAAACCACUCGGCUUGGGGCCGGAGGACUCGAGGGGUACGUCCGGGGUAGGAGUGAAAUCCCGUAAUCCUGGACGGACCGCCGAUGGCGAAAGCACCUCGAGAGGACGGACCCGACGGUGAGGGACGAAAGCCAGGGUCUCGAACCGGAUUAGAUACCCGGGUAGUCCUGGCCGUAAACAAUGCUCGCUAGGUAUGUCACGCGCCAUGAGCACGUGAUGUGCCGUAGUGAAGACGAUAAGCGAGCCGCCUGGGAAGUACGUCCGCAAGGAUGAAACUUAAAGGAAUUGGCGGGGGAGCACCACAACCGGAGGAGCCUGCGGUUUAAUUGGACUCAACGCCGGACAUCUCACCGGUCCCGACAGUAGUAAUGACAGUCAGGUUGACGACUUUACUCGACGCUACUGAGAGGAGGUGCAUGGCCGCCGUCAGCUCGUACCGUGAGGCGUCCUGUUAAGUCAGGCAACGAGCGAGACCCGCACUUCUAGUUGCCAGCAACACCCUUGUGGUGGUUGGGUACACUAGGAGGACUGCCAUUGCUAAAAUGGAGGAAGGAACGGGCAACGGUAGGUCAGUAUGCCCCGAAUGGACCGGGCAACACGCGGGCUACAAUGGCUCUGACAGUGGGAUGCAACGCCGAGAGGCGGAGCUAAUCUCCAAACGGAGUCGUAGUUCGGACUGCGGGCUGAAACCCGCCCGCAUGAAGCUGGAUUCGGUAGUAAUCGCGUGU